UAACUAUACAAUUAUUUUUUCCUGAUAGGACCAACAUUAGCUGUGGCUUCACUCUAAGGUAAUACACAAUUAAGAGCAUCAAAUAAGAUUAACUAGGUGCGUGUCCUUUGUUUAAUUGCUACAAUAACAUCCAUUAACACCUUCAUCAAUUACACGCACAGAAUAUACAAUUAUUGUACCGAAUAGUGAACACCUGUUGAAAACUCAAGAUUGUCAUCAGUUUCCUUUAAUCUUCAAUCUAUAUGCAUAAACAUGAUAAAU
Molecule: long non-coding RNA, 261 nt
Filed under: Mytilus galloprovincialis (Mediterranean mussel)
Lineage: Eukaryota; Metazoa; Mollusca; Bivalvia; Mytilida; Mytilidae
Source: RNAcentral